Molecule: ribosomal RNA, 253 nt
Filed under: uncultured prokaryote
Description: partial 16S ribosomal RNA
Rfam family: Bacterial small subunit ribosomal RNA
Source: RNAcentral
ACGUAGGUGGCAAGCGUUGUCCGGAUUUAUUGGGUUUAAAGGGUGCGUAGGCGGUUUCCUAAGUCAGUUGUGAAAUACGGCAGCUUAACUGUCGAGGUGCAAUUGAUACUGGGAAACUUGAGUACUGAUGAGGUAUGCGGAAUGGACGGUGUAGCGGUGAAAUGCUUAGAUAUCGUCCAGAACACCGAUAGCGAAGGCAGCAUACUAAGGAGUAACUGACGCUGAGGCACGAAAGUGUGGGGAUCAAACAGGA